Tupaia belangeri chinensis (Chinese tree shrew) is the source of this 2127-nucleotide long non-coding RNA. RefSeq lists it as uncharacterized. The record is from RefSeq and is a predicted model, not a curated record. The transcript has 4 exons. NCBI's taxonomy places the organism in Eukaryota, Metazoa, Chordata, Mammalia, Scandentia, Tupaiidae.
CAGCUCCAGCCAGGCCAUCGGACACCCCGGCUCCCAAACCCCGACUGCUGGGCAGACAGGGAGGCAUUUCAGGUGGCAGGUUGGCCCCCGGCCAGCCGGCCCCAGAUGCCAUGCGGCACACCUGAGCGGGGCUGCUGUCUCCCAGCCUUCUUUGUGAGUCUCAGCUCACACCUGUGGGGACUUUCCUACAAGGCGAAGGGACAAAGGGAAGCGGAUGGUCUGUAUCGAUUCUGCGACGCAGGAGGAUCUGGCCUGUUCUCCGCUUCCUGCUUGGCGAGGCUGCCCACCCCGGGGCAGUCACAGCAAGAGGCCCAUUUCCUGGGCCCAGCUGGCGCCCUCCACCCUCUGCUCACCCUGAUCUGACUCCAGUCUCGUCAUUUGUACUUUACGGACGAGAAAACUGAAGGCACUGUUGGAGUCACAGCACGAGCCAGCGGAGGGCACCGUGCCCACUCCCAGGCGGCAGAAUCCAAGCGCGCUGCUGGAAUGGGCUCCUUCAGGAAGCGGCCACGGUGACACAGGAGCACGGAUAGGUCUGACUGGGAGUCAUGCAGCACACCUAGCUGAUCUCAUAGCACAGAGCUGAGAUGAGCUGAGCCAAGGCCAAGACAAGCAAGGCAACCAGGGCUGAGCUAGCUGAAUUAAGGCCAAACUGAGCAGAGCUAGCUAACUAGCUGGCCAGGUGCUCCCUUCUUCUUAAAGGGGAUAUAGACAAUAGUGACUCGUUGACAAAGACAAACUGUCACACACACAUGCACAUUACAUGCAAUGGUGUAAAACAGCAAAAUCACAAUUACAUUAGAAGCAUGCAAGUGCAAAACAACUAAUAAUAUAAGUUGCUUAUCCUUAAAACAUAAUAAGAUCGGAAGUGAGGGAGCCAGACUAAAUCAUCCUGACUCCAUUUUCUCCACAAGUGGCCACUAGAUUCUUCCCUGCCACACAUGCCAGUUUCACUGAAGAAUCUCCUUGAUGAAACAGCAAAAAAUUAUUCAUUUUAUUACAUCUCUAUUCAUGUGUGUGUGUAUGUGUGUGAGUGUAUUCUGUGUGAUGCUACACAAACCCUUCUGCUGAACACUGAAAUGAGGUGUCUGGAGGAAGAAUAUUUAUGUGAGUUACAAGCUAAACUAGCCACUUUUUCCAUGAGACACCAUUUUUACUUGACAACUGACAAACUAUAGCUCUUCAAACUUAGGUAUUCGGCAGAUAUCAACUAAAAGAUGAACAAAGUGUGUCUGUUAGUUCAAGAAAAAUGACUGACAGCAUUUACUGUCUUUGAUAAUAUCUGAUAUUUCAAGUGAAAUUUAGAAUUUUGGAAAACUUGUAACCAUCAUCAUGUGCUUGACCAAGAACUUACCAAGACUUUUCUAGUGAGAUUGAUGGUUAUAUUAAUGAAAAUGGUUUCUGAAUGUUGUAAACUUAAAUGUGUCAGCAUUUGGAAGAUCUGCAUAACUCAUUAUUUUCCAAAUGACAAUGUAAAAUCAUGACUGGAUAAAAGAUCCACUCAAAGAACAAGAUAGACCAACAGAUUUUAAGAGUAUGCAAUUCCUCUAAAGACUAAAUUCUUCUGUGGAAAUGGAAAUAGUAACAUGACUUGCAAAAAGAUACUAGCAAAAUGGCACGGAGGAGACAUGUGAUGGUUUUCUCAUUAGGAUUGCAGCACUGUUAGAUUAACUCUUACACCUUAGCUCUGCCCAUCUAACUUUAGUGUACAUGCAUGUAAGCAUGCACUCACUCAUGCAUAUGCACACACUCACACUACCAUAUCAUUCUUCAAAUCUGAUCUCAGUUCUUGGUACUUGGGCUUUGUUUAACUGCUGGAGCUCAGGGCAGAGCAUAAUUCUAUUAGCACGUUGUUCAUCUUCUAACUAUCUCCACUUACAACUGUAAAAACAACUGAACUUCAACCCAACAGUGCUACCACUUCAAGUAUCGGCCAUAUGUCCUAAUAAUUACAUGGGUAUACAUGUGCAUGUGUAGGUACCUGCUACUAAAAGGAAGUUGGAGGUCUAUGCCUGACUACAGAGGCAAGAGCUAGCAUUUAAAAUCUACUCUAGCAGUUUUGAAAUAUACUAUGUAGGGAGCCAGCAGGUGACAUGCUGGACUCCCACAUGGCUGAGUGCAGUUUGA